RNAcentral lists this ribosomal RNA (292 nucleotides) under uncultured bacterium. RNAcentral describes it as "partial 16S ribosomal RNA". It matches the Rfam family "Bacterial small subunit ribosomal RNA", at positions 505 to 796 of the family's 1533-position model. The record is from RNAcentral.
GUUUCAGCAGCCGCGGUAAUACGAAGGGGGCUAGCGUUGUUCGGAAUUACUGGGCGUAAAGCGCGCGCAGGCGGUUUUCCAAGUCAGUGGUGAAAGCCCGGAGCUCAACUCCGGAAAUGCCAUUGAAACUGUAAAACUUGAGGACGAGAGAGGUGAGUGGAAUUCCCAGUGUAGAGGUGAAAUUCGUAGAUAUUGGGAAGAACACCGGUGGCGAAGGCGGCUCACUGGCUCGUUUCUGACGCUCAGGCGCGAUAGCGUGGGGAUCAAACAGGAUUAGAAACCCUAGUAGUCC